This 33-nucleotide ribosomal RNA is filed under the name uncultured fungus. RNAcentral's name for it is "partial 18S ribosomal RNA". The record is from RNAcentral. Lineage: Eukaryota; Fungi.
AGGUUCCGUAGGUGACCUGCGGAGGAUCAUUCA